This 305-nucleotide ribosomal RNA is filed under the name uncultured bacterium. Its description in RNAcentral is "bacterial SSU rRNA". It matches the Rfam family "Bacterial small subunit ribosomal RNA", at positions 333 to 652 of the family's 1533-position model. The record is from RNAcentral.
CAAGCCCUACGGGGCGCAGCAGUGGGGAAUAUUGGGCAAUGGGCGCAAGCCUGACCCAGCAACGCCGCGUGAAGGAAGAAGGCCCUCGGGUUGUAAACUUCUUUUAUCAAGGACGAAACAAAUGACGGUACUUGAUGAAUAAGCCACGGCUAACUACGUGCCAGCAGCCGCGGUAAUACGUAGGUGGCAAGCGUUAUCCGGAUUUACUGGGUGUAAAGGGCGUGUAGGCGGGACUGCAAGUCAGAUUUGAAAACCAUGGGCUCAACCCAUGGCCUGCAUUUUAAACUGUUUUUCUUGAGUACUGU